RNAcentral lists this long non-coding RNA (24905 nucleotides) under Gossypium barbadense (sea-island cotton). RNAcentral describes it as "long non-coding RNA (GBAR_LNC003747)". Lineage: Eukaryota; Viridiplantae; Streptophyta; Magnoliopsida; Malvales; Malvaceae. The record is from RNAcentral.
AGAGAUACCAAAAGAACUUAGUAGCGGUCCAUUCGAAUCCAAUCAUAGAAUACACUAUAAUGCCAUACACAGAAGCUUGAACAAAAAUAUAAGGUAUCUCUACUAAGACCUGCAAUGGCAAAAUAUGGAGUUAAUUAUAAUGCGCAUACAACUUUCUUAACAAUUUCAACUACUCUUCAAAAUGUGAAAAUUAUUUACCUGUGCAAUGGCAUAUGGCAUGGCAGAAUACAUUCCAGCAGCUCUUUCUCUAUAAAAGACUGUUCUUUCGACUGACACAACAGGCUGCACAGAUGAAGAGUUCUGGAUACCGAUGAAAAGAACAGCAGCAUACAUUGAACCCAUUGCAUUGGACAGAUCUUGUAUUUUUUUCCUAUAAUUUUACAAUGCAGAGACAAUUAGAUAAUGAAGCUGACUGAUGAAAACCAAUAUUGAAGCUUGAGCUUUUGUAAUUGAAUUAUUGCUUACGUUUUUGACCCGAGGUCCCAGAACAGCGUCCCAAACAUCAAUGCUAUGACGGUUGUAAAGAGAAAUCUUACGGCAGUAUACGGUGGGUUGCGCCAAUAUGACCAGUGUUGCUUCCAUAAACAAGCUGUGCAAUGCGUCAAGAAUGAUUGAGAAUACUGUGUUGGGAAAUAAAGUUCCUUGGCACCGGGAGCAGGUUUGCUUAAAUCUUCAAUAAGAGCUUUGUUUCUCCUGAACAAAUGACAUGAUGCAUCAGUAGCAAAUUCAAGGUAGCCAAGUUUAAAUAAUCCAAUAUAUGUCUUAUAUAUGCUAAACUAAAGUAAUUAGUUGAAUUUGAUUAUUUAUUUAUUUUGGGGCAAUGUUGUGCCUAGCUAGCUUGUUACCUGUAUAGGUCUGAGUUUUUGUAGAUAUCAGCAAAAUCAACACCUAAAGAUAACUCUUGCGCUGAUGCGGUAACUUCCAACAUCCAAGUUGCGGGAUUGUAUCCAUCUUUGAUUUUGCUAACACCUUGAAUUCCCUGCAGAAGAUGGACAUCAUAAUGUUAGACGCAGUUUUCAUGCGAACUGAGAAAUGCAUUAAGUUGAUGAACUUUGAAAAUUGUUGUCUUUCAUUACUUCUUACCUCAAAGUAUCUGAUAAGAUAUUUAGAAUGGUGUCCUAGUGGCCCCACAUAGAUCUCCUGUCCUCCACGUUUCAUAAGGAAUAGCUACAUUGCAGUUUUAUAUUAGUUAGGCCAUACAUAAAUGAAAAAAGGACAGUAUAAAACAUAGAUAUUAUCUAUUUUUAAUAGUUUUAUGCAUAUAAGGAUUUUCAUUCUCAAUUUUAAAAUUUCAAUUUGGAAUUGAUUUUUUUAGAAUAAAAAUGUUGAUGUGACAUAACACUAUUAAAAAUAGAUUGAGAUGAUGUGAUAUCAUUAUUUCAUAUAAUCCUUCCAAAAAAAACAACCAACAAAAAAUGAAGCCACUCCUUUUGAAAUUUAACUUUUUAUGUUCUUCACCUCGUCAAACGCUUCAAAUAUGUCAAUACUUGGUUGAUGGAUGGUACACACAACUGUUCUUCCAGUGUCCACUGUAUUCCUAACUGUUCUCAUAACAAUUGCAGCAGCCCUUGCAUCAAGCCCUGAAGUUGGCUCAUCCAUGAAAAUGAUAGAAGGGUUUGCCACAAGCUCAACUGCAAUCGUAAGCCUCUUUCGCUGCUCUGUUGAUAAACCGUUUACACCGGGUAAACCAACUAGGGCAUGCCUUAACGAAUCCAGUUCCACAAGCUCCAUGACUUCUUCUAUGAACAUCUGAAAAACAUAUGUUGAGAUAAAACCAUCAACAUAAUCCACUAGGAAAAUAUGUGGUUUUUAUUGGACUCUUUUGUUCUGGGUUUCAUCCUAGAUAAAGUGACUUAAAAACUCUAGCAUGUAACAAAGUAAAAUAAGAGACUUGAAACAGCUUAGGGUUUCAUAAGUCAUAACCUUUCUGGUUUCAGCAUCAAUGUCAUUGGAUAAUCGUAGCCAAGCGGAAUAAAGCAAAGAUUCAUACACGGUGACAUGAGGAGAAUGAAUGUCAUUUUGUUCACAGUAUCCAGAUACUCGAGCAAAAGUUUCUUGCUUCUUGGGGAAACCUGAAACUGUAAUGUUCCCCUCGAUAUAACCACCAGUUUUUCUGCCAGCAAGCACAUCCAUUAGAGUGGUUUUACCAGCACCACUAACACCCAUUAGAGCUGUGAGAACACCAGGUCUGAAUGCACCACUAAUACCCUUCAAUAGCACCAAUCUAUCAUCUUUAGUGAUACCUUGUUCUUUCAUUUCCUACAAAAUUUCAAUUCAAUCAACGAACUCUCACAUAUCUGAACAAUUGAACGUAUGUGGCUUUUGUACAUGGAACCUUAUGUUACCUGUGGCAUAUCAACAGAAUAGUAAAUGUCUUCAAAAGUGAGAGAAUGCGGCUCAAAUGGAAGAACCAUUCCCUUUUUCUUUUUGCCAUUGGUCCUAAGAGUUGCGUCAGACAAAGAAAAGGACUUGGAUGAGGAGGCGCUUCUUUGAAUGUCAUCUUGGAUCUCUGCAUGUCAAUUAAAUUAAUGUUGCACAUACAAUGGCUUGUACACAAACAUACCAAUCCAAAUAUAUAUGAGCCUUCCGUACCAGAUCUAUUUACAUGACUUGAGCUUUUUUCACGGUCUGUUAACUGAAUGCUUCCAACAACACCAUUGGCUUGAUCAUUGCUUUCGGGUUUUUCAGAUAUUACAGCUCGAUUCUUCUCAAAGGCUACAUAUUUAUUUGAAGAAAAAGAAUAAAAUAUUAGCUCUCCCUACCAAAGAGGCAUAAAUUUUAGUAGGUAAGCUAUACUCACGCUUUAGAAAGGUAAGAGCCAGAGUAAAGAAAACGUUGAGCAAUACUACAAAUAUAGCCAACGCCCCUACUCCGAGCCAAUACCAAUACGAUUCAUGGAAGAAACUUCUAGACUUUAAAACUUGAAGUCCUAUCGAUUCGUUUGAGCCCGGAGGAACCUUCAAUAUGAAAGCAAGCAUAAAAACAUCAGCAUAUUUUUAAGAGACAACACAAAUUAUAGACAUUUCAACUUCCAAAAGCAUUACUCGACUCCACUGGUGCCCAAGGAACUCAUUAACCAUCAGCGCAUUUUGCCCAUACAUCAAAGGCGAAAUCCAGUAACCCCAUAUCCACCAACCCCUUAUUUUGUCUGCAGCAUUGAACAUAAAAAGUAUUUAAAAACUGUUUAAAGCUUAACUUUCAUUAAAAGAAUUUUUUUUUUGGACACAUUAUUAUACCUCGUGCCAGGACAAAGCCACUUAAUGCAAAAAGUACAAGUAGAGCGAAUGUCCCAAAAGUGUUGGCUACAAUCAUGUUUCUAGCGGCUGAUGCAAUGAACCGAAAUAAUGAGGAAGCCAUCUGGUUAAUGAGAACAAGGAGGAGGUACUGUCUAAAGAACCUGUGCCAAAAAAAUCACUUCCACGUCAAUUUGAAUCAGAGCUAAUAGGAAGAAACUUUGUAUUUUACUAUUAAAGUUCAUAAGAUAUUUGUGCUGUCAUUUAUUUUUUCUACCUUUCAACAUUCGGAUCAUAUCCGAUAACGUAGUAAGUAAUGAAUACCCACACAGAAACUUCUAUAAAUGUCAUAGGUAUCUUCAGAAUCCAUGACGGUAAAGCAUAGGCCCACGGAGGAAAGAAUAGGAGGUCUCUUUGCUUGUAAAAGACAGGGAGCUUAGUAAUGGUCAUAGAAAGCUCAGGCAUUCCAUUGAACAUGAUGAAAAUCAUACCAAAAAACAAGGCCCCCAUAUAGAUCCUUCCUCCUUGAACUGAAUCUCGAUCCAUCUCAGUCCUCAAAAAGAGUGUCAUGGUAAUACAGGACACUAUUGUGAGCUAGUAGCACAAAGAAAAAAUAAAUGAAGUAAAAAAGGAGUUAAUCAAUAUCCUUAAAGCUCGAUAAUUUGUAGAACACACUACAGAGUUUAAAAAUUUUAGUACGCACUUGUAUACACUUGAAGAUGUACACAAAAGAGUUUCUCCUCAUCAACAGAAAUUCCCUUGCAAUGCAAGCUUUUAGCAACUCCCACUUCCCAACACCAUAUUUUUUGGUUGUCAAAGCAGCUGGGUGGCUCUUUUUUUUAUCAAAUGGAGUUCCAAGUUCCUCCCCAAGUUUCAUUCCCACAUGGAAAGUUUGGAAUGCCUCAGCAAAUUCAUUAGCCGUGAUAAACCUGUAAGGUUGAUCUUUACGUGCCCAAUACUGCAUUUGAUCUUUCCUUGAUGUAACCUACAAUUAACAAUGUUAAAUGUGACAGAAGAGCAACUUUCUCUGUCUGAACAGGGGAUUAAAACUUUUUCAAGACUUACCUCUUGCAAGAAAUCAGCCACACCUUUUCUCUCAGGGCACUUAAAGCCCAUAGAUUCGAAAAAGCUCACCACGUGUUCACGAGGACCCUGAUAUACUAUCACGCUAUCAGAAAGGAGAAUAAUGUCAUCAAAAAGAUCGUAAGUCUCUGGAGCUGGCUGUAGAAGGGAGAUGAGUGCAGUUCCAUUAAGAAUAUGAACAGUUUGCCUAAGGGAGUUCACAAUUUGGAAUGUUGUAGAGCUGUCCAGACCAGUAGAUAUCUCAUCCAUAAACAGUGCUCUGGCUGGUCCUACCAGCAUUUCACCUAAUUGCAUUGACAAUGACAUAAUUAGAUUUUGAUGAUAAGAAAAUAUCUACUCUGAUAAUGGAAUAAAUGGUGUAAUUGACUUCGUGAACGACCUGUUGUGACACGCUUCCUUUGUCCUCCAGAUAUGCCCCUCAACAUUUCAUUUCCUACCAAAGUGUCUGCACAUAUAUCCAGGCCUAAAAUCUGCCAAAUUUAUUUCAAAGAUUUUCAAUAAGUGAAGAACUUAUUUGUUAGUGCUUCUUGAAUAGCUUUCAGUAUAAUUCAGUUUCUGUAACAUUACCUUCAUAAUAUAAUCAGUGAUUACAUUUGCUUCCUGCCCUUCUGUUGCUAUUGCCUGAAAUGUUAAAGAUGACAAAAGUAAAUCAUGAUGAAUACAGGAUUCUUUAUAAUAAAGAUUCCUGUCAGAUAAAUUUAAUCUUUCCAAUUAUAUUAUAUUUUUGGUUUUCAAUCAAUUAUAUUUGGGAGAAUAUUAUCUUUGAACAUAAGCAACUAAUAAUUUUGCAGGACACCUUUCAAUAUGUAAACAAGAUAGUCUGUUUGGGAGAAAGGUAUAUAAGAUGUUCAUGUUAAGCAUUACAAUGGCCUCAUGGUUCUUACCUUCAUGAAGACAUCAAUAUCAGGAUCAGGUUUAAUGUUUGCUUGUUUCUCUCUUCUUGACAACUCUGACAACAUAUCUGUAAAUAAAUAAAUAAAUAAAUUAUUUGAAGAUUUACAUAAUAAUAAAUAAUAAAACAAGUGAUAACAUUUCCAUCAAAAUGUCGAAAGAGAAACUCAGAAGGGGUAGAAACCAAUCAAACUAACCAUAUCGGGUUCCAACCCCUUGGCAUCUUGCAGAAAAGGCCAAAGUUUCUCUCACGGUCAUUUCUCCUAGGUGAAGAUCGAAUUGACUGAUAUAGGCAGCAGUUCUCUGAGGCACGAACUCCUUCAUUGUAUGCCCAUUGUAUGUCACAGACCCCGAAAACUGCAACAGAAUUUUCACUUUCAAAUUAGACACUAAAGCAAAGGCAGAAGACAAUGCAAAAAACAAGAAGCAUAGAAAGGAAGAUGUGAAUUUUGUAGAGUACUUGGAGAGCAGGAUCAAGCUUCCCGGCCAGAGCCAACAAGAGAGUGGUUUUUCCGGAACUUGGAGGACCCAAAAGCAAUGUCAUCCUACAAUAUGUACAUGAAAAGAUUAAUCGUUGAUUAAUUCCAGGAUGGCCCAACUUUUUAUUUUAGAAGAAAAAAUUCAUGUGUUUGAUGAGAAAAAAGAUGACCAAGUUUACCUGCCAGGUUUAAUCAUACCACUGACAUCUUUGAGGAUGGUCAGCUUUUUCAUUCUACUAGAAAGAAUACCCAUAUUUAUCAACAAGCCCUUUAAUCACAAAACAAAGUAAAAGGUUAAUAAGAAUCCUAAACAAAAAGGUGUAAAAUGAUGAAUUAGUUAUGAUUCUCCAGGUUGGUACCUCAAAUAUGCUAGUAAUGAAAUUAAGGAAUGAAGGCAAAGCAUUGGUUCCUACAAAAGCUUCAGCUUCAAUAUUUAUAUUUUCAAAUCUGACUUCGAUUGUGGGAAGCUCGAUGCCAACCCUGAAAAUUAGAAGAAAAAGAAAUCGAAUGUAAAUGAUUACGGAUGCGCGAGAACAGGAUCUCAUUUAGACAAACUCUGUCUUCAUUUGUGUCAUUCAAGUCUUUCCCUCGAAUCGUUAAAAAAAACAAAACCUUCUUUCCAUUUUUUUUUCUAGUAAAAAGAAAAUAACAGAAAAACUUCAUACCUAUCUAUACGGUUCUUGAACUUCCACAAGAACCUUUCAUUAUCUUCGUCAGCAACUUUAACCAACCUCUCUAGUAUAGUCCUCCUUUCUUGCCAUCCAAGGUUAACAAUAUCAAUUUCAUUGGCACCACCUUGAGAGCUAGUCAAUAUACCUUUCCUGAGACGAGCAACAGUUGGUAGUCUCUCAAUAGCAGCCCACUUCAAAGCUUCUUCAUCAUCCUCUUCUCGAGAAGACCUUGAAAACACGUCCACCGCACUGUUUCUCCAUACGGAAGAGCUUCCUGAUCUCAAACUUCCUGCUCGUAAACUUCCCCGUAAACUGUUACUCGCUUUAAGAAUAUCUCCGGUCUCCAUUACCACCAAAUCCUAACUCCGACCAAUACGAUUUCCAAACUUUCACGUUCCCCCCAGCCCAAGUCAAUGAUUCAAAACAAAAUAAUAAUAAAAAAUGGAGUAUUAGAAGUUCGGUAUCCUUUUGUUAUCAAACUCUUUGUCUUUGAACAUUGACAAGAAAAUGUGAGGAGUUUUGAAACUAAAAUAACAAAAACCAUCAAACCAGUAUGAGGGUUGAGGAAUAAGCUGAUCCUGUAGCAAGAAAACUGGAGGUUUGUGAUAUUUAUAAGGUUAUAUUAUUAGUUAGAACUUAGAAAUCUUACGGCGGGUUUUUUUUUUUUUAAUUAUUUUUGUUCUUUGUAAAUAUAUUUCAAGGUUCAGAAUUUUCAAGGUGGUUUCGUAGGGAUUAUUAUUAUUUUGUCAAAAUUCAAACUUCAUCUCAUCUGUUUUCAUUUUUAAAGGCUCACGUUUGAUUUUAAUAAUCUUUUUCUCUUGAUUUGGUUUAUGAAUGAAAACACUUUGAAUAGAAAUAAAAAUAAAAAUAAAACUAAGAGGAAGAUAAUAAGAAAUAAUAUUAUUAUUAUAAUGUUUAGAUGACAUACUUGCUGAGCUAGCAUCAAAAGGAAUGAAAAUCCGCUGCCCAUUAUUUUGCCUCUUUUUGUGCCACCUAUAAUAAUUAAAGAAAUAUGUCAUCAUAAUCACAAAGUUAGGUUUAAUGAUAAAAGGUUUUUUUUUUCUUUUCUUUUUCAUGUUAAUGAGUAGUUGGGGUUUUAUCUUCAUCUUAAGUAUAUAGUAAUUUUAAAAUUUGUGGUCAUCGUCUAUUCUAAAUAAAUCUAUAAAAUGAGGAUGAUUAGUUAUUAAGUGUACGUUUUAAUCACAUCUUCUUUAUAUUGCGGGUAAACUACACUUAGGGUUACUAAACUAUUAAUAAGUAUACAUUUUAGUCAUUUAACUUCAAAAAGUUACAACUUUGUUACUGAACUAUUUGAAAAUUUUUAUUUAUUUUACUAAUUGUUAAAAUCGUUAUUGUAUGACCAUCUCUGUUUGUACCACCUGUAUCAACCUUAAGUUUUCCUUCCAUUUCUCUACUCCAAGCUCAUUCUAAUGGGUACCUUGAGAAAUGAUUAAAAAAAAACAUAUCUUCUUUAUAUUUGGGAUAAACUACACCUAAUGUCACUAAACUAUUAAUAAGUUUAUGUUUUAGUCACUCAACUUCAAAAAGUUACAAAACAAUCAUUGAAUUUUUAGAAAGUUUUUAUUUAAGUCACUAGGUUGUUAAAAUAACGGAUGCAUGGUCUUCUCUAUUUGUACCACCUGCAUCAAUUAAAAGUAUUUUUUCCCUCUUCUCUUUUGUAGUUCAAUUUUUUUUAUAGAACAACUUUUAAUGUCAUGAAUUUAUGAAUUAUUAAAAUUCAAAUAACUUUUUUGUUCGAUCUCCAACAUUAACCGUCAAAUCAACUUGAAACUAAAAUAUGCUCUUCUACUUGUCGAUAGAUGCUGGUCCACUGCAUUGAUCUUCAAAUCAUCACUUAGAGUUUACUAGUGAGACUUUUUUUUAAAAAUAAUUUAACAAUUCAAUGACUUAAAUAAAAAUUUUCAAAUAAUUUAGUGACUUAAAUAAAAAUUUUGAAAUAAUUGAAUGAUAAUUUCAUAACUUUUUGAAAUUGAAUUGCUGAAAUAUAAACUUAAAAAUAAAUUAAAGCAUGAGGCUUAGUUUAUAUUUAUGUUUUUAUUAACGAUUUAUUUUAACGGCAUACCACAGCUACGUACCUUUAAAAAAAUUUACCGUCGAAGCAAAAAUUACGCUUUCCUCUUUUCAGCACCUUCUACAACCAAAACUUUUUUUUGACAAAGUUGGAUGGGCAUGCCUUCACCGUGAUGAUGUGGCCAAGAAAAUCGUUUGAGCCGCUAGACUCUUGGCUUUUUCCAAGUUGUUAAUACCUCUUCAAUUUCAAACAAAAUUCUUUUCUCUAACACUGAAAAGAUAAUUUAUUUUCAAGUUUUACUAAUUUGAUUGAUUGCUUAUCUCCUAGGCUAUUGAUUUUUUUUUAUCACAAGAACCCUUUGGUAUCUCUCUUUUUAUUUAGUUUAUUUAUUUAUAAAAUUAAAAUUAAUUUACCACCAUAAUUCAAGAGCAACUCAAAUCCUUUGGUAUUUUUUUAUUGCUUUUAUUUUUCUGUAAUAUUGGUAUACACCAUAGUGGUGGAUUACAAAGAAAAAGAAGCAUUUACGAGGAAAAAGAUGAAUACUGAAAUUUUUUUAAGAAAGAGAAUAUGCUUUUAAAAUUUUAAGUUCAAAAAACAUCACUUAACUAAUAAUGUAUUUUUUUACUCCCAAAUUUUCAAUUUUCAAUUUUAAUUUCUAAUGUUAUUGAUAUUUCCAUUAAAUCAUUAAUAGCGGUUUUUUUUAUUGACAUAAUAAUAAAUUUAGUUUUUUUUUAUGUUUAUAAAUUUUAUCAGUUUAAUUAUAAUUCUAAAAAAUUUAACAAUUUUGUCAUCAACCUUACACCUUCUAUUAAUUUAGUUUUAAUUUUUUAAAAUUAAAAUAAAAAAUAAAAUAUUUAAAAGUUUAUUAUUUUAUAAAAAUAUAAUCAACCCUCUUUAUAAUAACCUCAUUUGUUUACUCAAAAUUUGCCUAUUAUAGAGAGGUGACUAUUAUCCUUAAACCCUAACACCUAUAACAACAUUUUGUUAUAGAGAGAUAAUCGUUCUAAGCUUAUCAUAGAAUUUAUAUCAUGAAUUUUCAUCAAAUAGAAAAAAUGAAAAUUAUGUUCCAAAAAAAAAAGUUGAAAUGUAACCAACAAAAAUUAAAAGAAGUAUAACAUGUGCAUGUAUUACUAUUUUUAUGCAUAUUUUAUUUACAAUUUUUCACAUGAUUAAUUAUAAAGUUGAUAAAUUUAACAAGUUCAAUUAAUCAACAUAAGUUAUCAAAUUAAAUUAAUUAAUUUAUCAUGAAUUGCUAAAUUCAAGUAUUCAAUUUAUAAGUUUAUGAUGUUCUAAAUUCAUGGUUUUAGGGUUUUAAUGUUUUAAGGCAUAUGAUUUAGGGUUUAAGGUAUAGGGUUUUAGGGUUUAUGAUAUAGGGCUUAUGGUUUUAGGGUUUAAGGUAAAAUAUUUCAAGGUUUAUGGUUUAAGGUUUUAUGAUCUAAAAGUUUAGUGUUUAGGGUUUUAGUAUUUUAGUGUUUAGGUUUUAGAGUUGUUUAGGAUUUAGGGUCUAUUAAUUCAUAUCGUGAAUUUUUAUCAAAUAGAAAAAAUGAAAAUUAUGUUCCAAAAUUAUAAGGUUGAUAAAUCUAACAAGUUCAAUUAAUCAACAAAUGUUAUCAAAUUAAAUUAAUUAAUUUAUCAUGAAUUGCUAAAAUCAAGUAUUCAAUUAAGAAGUUUAUGAUGUUCUAAAUUAAUGGUAGAGAACAUAAUAGUUUCUUAAAUUGAUAUCUUUAAUUCCACUAAUUGAGGAUUAUUUCUAUUUAAUAAAAUAUGAUUAAUAGAUUUCUCACAUGAAAUUUAAUCAUUUUAUUAAAAUAAUAUUUUAAUUAAGAUCAUUUUCAUUUGAUAAAUGAUAAUUAAUAGACUUGCUUAUAAGAAAUAACUAUAUUUUUACACAAAAAUUUAAACCAUAUGUUGUUAUACAGAACUAAUUUAAUAAAGAAUGUACUUCAUAACUAUAGAUAUUGUUGUUAUAAGUGAAAAGCAGUUAUAGAGGGUUAUUAAAACAAUACUUUUGUAUAUAUUUUUAAAAACCCACAAAUAAGACUUAAACUAAAUUUUAAAAAAUUAUUUUUUUUGUUAGUUUUAUAAAUAAAUAAAAAGAUAAAUUUAUUAUAUGUUUAGCCUUACUCCUUAAUCCUCGUCAAAUUUAAGCAUCGUUUUCAUCGAUAAACACUAAUACCAAUAACCCUUAAUCUGAACUCCUUAAUUUUCACAUCCUCCAUUAUCGCUCUCUCAAACAAAGGCUCCUUUUGGAUAUCAUUUCCCCCAUGGUAAGAUGGAAUUAAUAGAAUAUAUGCCUUUUAAAUGGUGAAGCAACUUCCUUUUCGCACCUGCGGUGAAGUGCGGUGAGGCAAUUGAAUUGCACCACAACCCUCAAUUUUGGCUGAUGCUUUAUGCUUCAAUGGGAGUAAAUCUACAGAUGUGGAGAAUUGUUUUACAAAAGCAAUAUUAUUUGAGUUAUUUUUUAAUUAGAAUAAAUAUAUAAUAAAAUUUUAUUAUUGUCCUUAAUAGUUAUUUCUAUUCUCACCUCACCGCUACAGUUACAUUUGAAUCCAAACACACACACCAUUACUAUUUCUAAUCUCACUACUACAGUAUUCAAUCACAUCACUACAAUAACUAAUCUCACCGCCACAACUAUUUUUAACCUUAUCGAAGGUAAACACACUGCCCAUCCAAACUAAGUCUAAGAUUGAUUGUGGAGUUGUUGGUGUAACAGCCCCUUUUUCAGUGGUGUCGGAAACUGUAACGCCCUUACCCGAGACCGUUGCCGGAGUCGAGCACAAGGCACUACUAAACUUAUUUGAGCACUUAACCAAAUUUAGAUCAUUUAUAUCAUACUUUUCAGACGAGCUGUCCAACUGCAUCAUAGUUGCUAAAUAAUUCAUAUCUCGAGUUAUAAAACUCGAAAACCAAAUCCGUAAAUUUUCCCCGAAUUUAUACUCAUAUAUCUACUUACCAAUUUUUUUUUUAUAAUUUUUUCUUGGUCCAAUUAGUACAGUUUAUUAGUUAAAUCCUCCCCUAUUUCAGGGUUUGGCUACUUUGACCCCUGUGCACUACGAACCAAAUUUCUCUCUGUAAAAAAUUCAAAUAACCAUUCCGUUUGUUUCUCUUAAAAAUAUACCAAAUGAGGAAUCCAUACAUAUACAGUAUGACUCAUAAUUAUUUUUGUGCAAUUUUUAAUGAUUUUCUAAAAUCAGAACAGGGGAACUCGAAGUCAUUCAGACUCUGUCUCACCACAAUUUAAAUAUCUCAUAACAUAAAAUCCAAUUGCAUGCACCGUUUCCUCUAUAUGAAACUAGACUCAUUAGGCUUUAAUCUCAUUUUUUUUCCAGCCCUUAACUCAAUUUCCACAAUUUAUGGUGAAUUUUCAAAGUCAAGCUACUGCUACUUACCAAAAACUGUUUUAGUACAAAUAUUGUUAACUAGUUCAUAACAUCUUUACUUCAAUUCAUUCAAACUCUAUACAUGCCAUAUAAAUCUUUAAACAUAAAACAAAAACUACCAGAAUUGAUCUGAAUAGUGUGCCCUGUUGUGUUGAUCCGAUCUACCCACUUCACUUCAAGUCAAUCUACAUAAAAAUAUUAAACACACACAAGUAAGCUUAUUGAAGCUUAGUAAGCUCAUAGGCAUAUAAACACAAAUCAUAUCAAAUAUCGUACACAAUCUUAUAUCUAUUAGUUUAACUAUUUCAUCCUCCAAAUCACAAUUUCAUUAAUAACUCAUUGGAAUAAUUUCCAUAUGGCUACUCACAAUUUAACUCCCUUAGGCCCAUUUCUCAUUUACUUCAUUGUCAAUUUAAGGAACAAUAAGGGAAUUGAGUGCUUCAUUAUCACAUUGCCAUAGUAAACUAUGGACUUUCACAUUGUUACGCAUCACACACCGAAGCCAUAGCCUUGCCAUGGGCUUACACGGUUCACAUAUCAUACCGAAGUCAUAUCUUAGACAUGGUCUUAUACGGAAUCACAUUAUCACAUUAUACCGAUGCCAUAGCCCAGCUAUGGUCUUAUACGGAGUCACAUUAUCACAUUGCACCAAUGCCAUAGCCCAGCUAUGGUCUUAAACGGGCACACUUAUCACAUAUUUUUCGUCAAUUCAUCAGGGUCACAGAAUAGAAGCACUCAAAUCCAUUGUUCCUACUAAUUUGUACUUUUAGUUACACAUUAUUCAUUAGUUAAUGCAAAUUGAUAGUAUUCAUCAACAAUAAAAUACUUUAACAAUCAUAAGAUUUUCAUAUCAAAACAUUGAACUUUGCCAUAUGAACUUACCUGGACUAAUUUGCAAAAGUUGUAGAAAUUCAAGGACUAUUCUUGAAUUUUCUCCUUUCCACGAUUCAGUUCGUUUUCUUGAUCUAUAAUUAUAAAAUCAUUCCUUCAUUAGCAUCCAUUUCAAUUCUAUUUCACUUCACAAUUUAUGCUGUUCAAAUUUUGAAAUUGCACUUUUACCCCAAAAUUUACAGUUUUCACAAUUUAGUCCCUGCUCAAUUCACCCAUCAAUUGAACUAUUUUUUCUCAAUUAGCACUUUAUUUUAUCAUUAUAAACUAUUUAAAAACCUUUUAUAUUCUUAAUUUCAACAGAAACCUUCAAUUCACAAUUUUUUCACAAUUAGGUCCUAAAUAUCAUUUCCUAUCAAAAUCACUUAAUAAAACCACCUUAAUAUGAAAUUAGAACUUAAAUUUCAUAAUAAUUCAUCAUAAAAUUCCCUUAUCCAUCCCGGGUAACUUCCAAUUUCACCCAUAAAAUCAAAAACUAAUGAAUUCUACAAGUGGACCUAAUUGUAAAAGUAAUAAAAACAUAAAAAUUAUCAAGAAAAGUAAGAAUUAAACUCACAUGAUGUAAAAAUAUGAAAAACUAGCUUUCUCCAGACCUUCUAUGGCGUUUUGGCUGAGAAAAUAUGAAGAAAUGUCUAGAUUUUUCAAUUACAUCAUUAUUUAACUAUUAACUUUUAUGCUAUUUCCAAUUUUGCCCCUUGUUCACAUUGUUUUCUUGCUUAUUUCAUACCCAAACCGUCCAGCCAUUAACCUUUGGGUCUAAUUGCUCUUUAAAUCCAUCUUUUUAAAUACUUAAGCUAUUUACUCACAAUUUAACAAAUUUUGCGCUAUUUUCAAUUUAGUCCUUUUUAAUUAAUUAGCCAUCCAAACGUUAAAAUUUUCUAACGAAACUUUAAUACUAACUCAAUGACACUCCAUAAAUAUUUAUAAAAAUAUUUAUAGCUCGAUUUUCAACUUUGAGGUCUCGAUACCUCAUUUUUGACCCGUUUGACCUAAUAAAUUCUUUUAAUUCACUAAUUUCACCAUUUCACAAAUUCUUCUAAAUUCUUACCUGACUCAUAAAUAUUAAAUUACUAUCUUGUUCAAUCUUAUUUUUCGAAUUUAGUGAUCUCAAAUCACCAUUUCCGACACCACUGAAAAUUAGGCCGUUACAACUCUCCAAUGGUUUCGGGGCCAUUAAAUCCGUUGAGUAAAUUUAUAAAUAUUAUUAUUUAAUAUUUACGAGUCAAAUGUGAUUUUUUAAAAAAGUUUUUGAUUUGAUAAUUUAUGUUAUAUAAGUAAUUUAUUAAGUUCAAGUAGUUUUAGAAGAUGAGGUAUCGAGACUUUAUUUUUAUAAAUCGAGCCGUAAAUAUUUUUAUAAAUAUUUACGAAGUGUCGUUAAGGUGGUAUUAAAGCUUCGUUAAGAAAUUUUAACGUUUCGAUGGUUAAUUAAUAAAAAAAGUGCAUUCCUGGGACUCCGUUCACGUAAACCGGACUAGUAAAUAUUUUUAAUUAGGUUUCAAUUAAGUGAAUUUGCUUGAAUUAAAAGUAAUUAGGUAUAAAGACUAAAUUACAGUGAAAGUUGAAUUAUAGAUGAAAGAAAAUUUUAAAGGACUAAAUAAGCAAUUAUACCAUUGGUAUUAAAUGACGCGGCACAACGAUGAAGAUAUUUAUAAAAUUUAAAGUUAUAUUAUAUUUUAUUAUAUUAUAUUAUAUUAUAAUGAUAAAAUAAAGAAUAAAUAAAAAGAAAGAAAGAUAGAAACGAAACAGAAAGAAAAAGAAAGAAAGAAAGAAAAGAAAAAUGAAAGAAAGGAAGGAGAAAGCCACAACCUUAGGGGCUUCAAAAGUUUUAAGUUCAACCAGUUUGUCAAUUUAGUCUAUUUUUCUUGUAAUUUUUAUGUUUUUGCAAUCCCAGUGUUAAAUACUAAUCCGACCCAUGUCAAAAUUUUAGAAAUUAUUGAGUUUUUAAGUGUUGUUAAUGUUGAAUAAUUUUAGUAUUAGGGACUAAAUUGAUAGAUUUUCAAGUUAGAAAUGAAAAAGGAUUGAAUUGUAGAAUAAAUUGUAAAUUUUGAGUAAUAGGGAUUAAAUUAUGAAAAUUUUGAAAUUUAGGGAUUUAAAUGAAAUUAGAGAGUUAAAUCUAGUUUAAAGUGGAGAUUGAAUAAAAAUAUAGAAUUGAUUGUGAAGAAAUAAAAUUAGUCUCGGUUUAGGGACUAAAUUGGAAUUUACACAAAUGUUGAGUAAAAAGUUGAAAUAUUCAAUAUGAAAUUUAAAUUGUAUUGUAUUUAUAAAUUUUAAUUGUUUUAAUUCCGUAGCUAACGUCGUACCGGAACCCUCGACUAAAAAGGGGAAAGAUAAAGUCGAUAGGAAUAACUCGAAAUUUCUGGUUUGUAUUUCUAUAAUCCGAACUUAGUUAUUAAUUGUUGUAUUUUGAUUUAAUGUUAAUGAUAAGUGUUGAGGUGAGUAAUUGAUGUUUUGAUAAUUGAUUGAAUGAUUUGAAUUGGUAGAUAAAUAUAUGUAUUGAAUGGAUUGAGUUUUCAAUUUGACAUGAUUGUAUUAGUAAUUAUGUGAUUAUAUGAAAAACUGACAUUGGAUAUUGAUUGUUAUUGAAUUGUGAAAUUUAAACCCUAUUAAUUGUAUCGGGCCGAAUCGGAUAUAGAUGGCAUGCCAUAGGAUUGGAAGAGUUCAGGGAUUUCUUUGACUUCGAGUCGAUAAGACACUGGGUGUCAAUUUACUACUUCGGAUUAAUUCGAUGAGGCAUUGGGUGCCAAUUUACUUCAGUUUAGCUGAUGAGACACUGGGUAUCCGUUCGAGUCCGAGUCGUGUUAAUAGGGGUAAUUAAGUGAAAUGACACUAUGAUCGAUGUUGGAUGAUAUUAUAUGUGAAAUGAAAAUGAGACUGUGAAUUGAAAUAUGGAUUGAGACACAUGAAUUGUGUAUUCAUGAAUUGGACAUGGUACGAACAUUAUUGUUGUUUAAGUGAAAUGUGUAUUAUAUUGUGAGAAGCUAUUUUAUAGCAAAUAAUAAGAAUUGAGUAUGGUAUAAAAUGAUAUAUUUAUGAUUUGAGUAUUGAAUGGUUAAUGUUAUUGUAUAAAUAAAUGUGAAUUUUAAAUAUUCAAUUGUGCCUAUUAUAUUAUUUUGUCUUUGAAUAUUCGGAUUAUAGAAAUACCACUAAGUUUUACUCAGCAUACGGUUUUGUUUCCCGUGCUCAGGUUAGGUACUUAAUUUUGAUCACCGAUUCAGCAUCCAACAACGAUCCCGAACUCAAAUGUGGUGAUGUUUAUCCUUUGUGUCGGCAUGUACCUAAGGUGUCUAAAUAAUAGUUAUUUUGUGGAUUGAUUGUAAAUGAGAUUAUAAGUUUAAUUUUCGUUGGUUUUAUACAUAUAAAUAUGUGUUUGAUUGUUGAGGUUAUAUUAUGGCAUGGUAAAUUGAACGAAAUCUAGAUAGGUGCAUGUGAAUUUAAUUCUAUGUUUAAGUGCUCAUGAACUAGGCAAAUUGAUUUUGAUUUGGUAUGUUUAUAAUUUGGAUUAAAAUGAUGCUUUGAUGAUUUGUUUUGAUGAUAUGAAAUGUUUGAAAUUUUUGUCUGUUUGAUCUGUAAAAUCCGAUAAUGCUCCGUAACCCGGUUCCGGCGAGGGAUACAAAUUGGGGGGUGUUACAGUUGGCAUGACUUUCCACCUAUCGAGUCUCCAAAACCUCAUCAUUGCCUAUAUAUCCUCAAUCAAAUGGGCCUUCAAACACAAUAAACUUGUUUAGGGUAACAACCUAAAAACAUCAAUUUUCACUCUUUUCAACCUCAAGUUAUAGUUUUUUACUCAACAUGAACAUAGUAAUUGUUAAUGUUGAAAAAAGAAAAAAGUUAUUUACAUAAGUUUUUUCAUAGUUUUUCCCUUUAAAUUAUUUUAUUUAUAAGGUUGUUGUUUUAUUUAUAGAAUUAUUAUUUUAAUAAAUAAACUUCAUGUUAGAAAGUGAGAAAGAUAGAUAUUCAUUUGUUUAUGAAUAUUUUUAUAAUUAUAUAUGUAUUUUUAUAAAAUCUUAUAUAUUUUUAUUGAAAAAUGAAAUUUUAUUUUUUAAAAUAAAUUUUAAUUUUUAAGAAUCAAGACUAAUUUGACGGAAUGUGUAAAGUUGAAGGCUAAAUUUGUUAUUUUUUUUAAAUUUAGGAUUAAAUUGAUAAAAUUUAUAAAUUUUAGAGGAUUAAAUUUGUUAUUAUACCAAUAAAAAAACGACUGUUAAUGACUUAGUGAAGGAGUGAUCAGAAUAUCAAAUUUUGAGAAUUUUAAUUUGACUUGAAUGUGAAUUAAUUAUUGUAUAAAGAAAAAGAAAAGAAAAGAAACGUGUCAAAAUAUUCUAGGUGGAGUGGGGCACAAAAAGGAGUACAAUAAUGGGUAGAAGAUUUUUGUUCAUCAAGAGGUUGCAAUUUGAAGGUAAAUUUGAACUCGUAAAGGAGCUGGACUUACACUAUGGAUGAAAAUACAGGCAUGGCAUGGCAGAUGGGAGCAACUGAGCAAGGACAAUCGUUCUUGAAUUGGAUAGCAAUCCAAUUGUUGCAGGGUAGGUAAGUUGAGUAAUGCAGUUGCUUGUGAUGUUAGAAGAACGAUGAAUCUGCCAUGGGAAGUCAAACUAAAGCAUAUCUAUAGGGAGGGCAACAAAAUAGCAGAUGCUUUGGCUAAUUAUGCGUUCACAUGGCCACUGGGUUUUUAUUGUUUUUUACAACCACCAGAUGAGAUUUUACGCUGUGCAGGACGGCAUGUUUAGUGUUGGUCAACCAGAUUAGCGACGAUGCUCUUUUUCUACCGAUAUAUAUAGUAGAAAAAGUCCAACACAAAAAUGGGUGGAAUCUAAGUUACGGCAGCAAUUGAGAACGCUAAAACUUAAAAAAUACAUUUUUCAUAAUAUUUUUUUAUCACACUUUUCAAAAAUACUCUCUUAAUGAGGGGAUCAAGGCCAAACUGUAGGGUUUAUAGAAAAUUUAAAUUUUGACCUAUUGAUGAGUCUUUUUAAUCCACUAAUUAUAGUACUUAUCCAAAUAUAUAAACAUGUGUGAUUACAAAUAAUUAAAUCUAAUUUAGUUAUAAAGUGAUUUUUCAAGUGCACCCUAACUAGAAUAUCCUUUCAAAAAAUUUAAAUUAACAAUAUGAAAUCCAAAGUAAAAAUAGAAGAUAUGAAUCCUUGCCAUGUAAUUUUUAAUAAAGAAUAUUUCUAAAGUUGGAAUCCGAAUCUCUAUAUAGAGGUGUACUAAUAUCCUUAGAUAUGAAAGGUUAUAAAUCUAAUUUCUUAUUUAUUACAAAACUCAUGUGUUUGACUGAACCAAUUUCAUAUUAUAUACAAAGCCUCUCCAAUUGGUUUAUAAAUUCAUUUUAUUUGGCCCAUCGUAGAUUUCAUAAACUAGUUUUUUUAUUUUAUUUUUAGGUUAUAAUUAAUUAAUUAUUUUAAAUAAUCUGAUUAAAAUCAAUCAUUACAAGCAUUAAAUUGAAUAAUUAAGCUUAACUCAAACUAACUAAAAUAAGUAAUUUACACUUCUUUUUUUUACAGAGAUAAACUUGAAUUUGAAAGCUUAAAGCAUCAUAGCCCUAACUUUAUCGACACAACUAAAACAUCGUUAAUUAUUGUUUUCUCUCUCUUAUUUUGAAUAUAUAUAUAAAUGGAUAUAUUAUAAAUGGAGAUAGGAUAGUUGUUAGAAAUUAAACAUAAACCCUUAUGUCACAAUACAAUACUUUUAUCAUUAAAUUAAGAAGUUGUUGAAAAUAAUUUAGAAUAUUAUAUUUUUAAAUACAUGUAUUAUAUAUGAAGAGGAGAGAAUAUCAUGUAUGACGCUCUUUAAAUAUGAUUUAGUUUUGGAUGAUUGUUAUUAUAUUUAUAUGAAACAAACAAAAUUUUUAAAAAUGACUUUAGCAAUAAAUUAUUUUGAUCUUUUGGAUUUCGAAUUAGUUAAAGAAAGCCAUGAAAUAAAAAUCCAUUUCCCUUCCCUUCAUUGUCAUUGUUUAGGUUAACUCUGCUAUUAGAUUGGAUAAGUUGUAGAUUUGAUUUAUAUACUUUAAUUUAAUUAUUUUCAGUCCUUGUAUUUUUUUAAAACUUGUUAUUUAACCAAUUAGAUUUAACUAUUAUUUUUUUGGAUUAGUAUUAUAAUUUUAAAAUUUUAAAAAUAUAUAUAAAAAUUAAAAUUGAGGAUAUUAAAAACCUCCAUAAAUCUCCAGCUUAAUAUGAAAGUAAGAACGAAAUCUCAUAUUUAAACCCUAAUAUUUAAUUUGAUGGAUAAAAUGGUUGACAAGAAAUUAUAUUUUAGUAAUGUGGUAGAUAUUCCUAUGCCUAUGGUAUAUUAAAAAAUAAAUUAAAUCACAGUCAGCCACUGUACUUGGUUUAAUUUCUACAUAUAAUUUCAUACAAUCAACGUCGUUUACAUCAAAUGUAGUUGAGAAGCCAAUGUUGAAUUAGAAUUAUUUUCGUUGAGUGUAAUACCUGGUGUUGAGUGUUGACAUUCUAGAAUUAUUUUUGUUGGAUGUGUGGUCAACCAUUUGCAAAAUAUUUGCCACGCUGCCCUUUUUUUUAACCUGUAAAGUAAAGGUUUUAACUUUAUCCAGUUAUGAUAUAAUAGAGGUAUUAAAAAUUUAGGCCCAUUUAUUAGGCUCGGGCCUGGUCUAAAAAAUGGAUUUAAAAUUUUGUCUAAGCUUGAUUAGGAUGAAAAUGUUAAAAUUCGGGUCCAACUUGGCCCGCCGAUAUUAAUUUUUAUAUUAUUUUUUAUAUAAUUUUAAAAUAUAUAUAAUACAUCAAAAAUACUAAAAACAUCAAAAUAAAUAUUUCCCAACAAAUUAAAAAUAAAUUUAAAAAAAUGUAUACUUAAAUAACACUAAGAUAGAUGUAACUUAACAAGUAAAUAUCUCUAAAAUAAUAACAAAAUUAACAAAUAUCUUUAAUAUAAUAACAAAAUUAACAAUAAAAUAAGUUUUAUAUAAUAUCCAAACAAUAACAACAAAAUAAUAUUAACAUAAUAUUAAAAUGGUAGCAAAAUAGAGAGAAAAUAACAAGAAAAUAAUAUUAAAAAAUCAUAUUUUUUUGUCCUUUAGUAAAUUCUUGAGGCCCGACUCAUUUUUUAAAUGGGCGUUAUUUUUUUUGUCCAAACCCAUUUUUUAAGUCUAUAUUUUUGUCCAAAUCCUUUCACAUUUCGGACGGGCCUUCGGGCCGGGCCAUGCUCACCUCUAUGAUAUAAGGAUUAAAUUUGUAAUUUGAGUUAAGUAGAGGGAUAACCGUUUGACUUAAAAUUAGUUUCUUUUUAAAAUCAAAUAUUAUUUUUAAAAAUAAAUAUAACUUUGCAAUAAUUUUUAAAUAAUUACUCUCAUAUAAAAAACACUCGUGUUCAUUCAACAUUUACUUUUCUGUUUUCUAUUGAAUGAGUCAAAUCAUAAAAGAUAGAAAAUAAUUUAUGAAUAUUUACUUAUGUUUUAAAUGAUUUAAUUAGAGGCAGAGAGUGGAUAAUGGAUUCAAGGAGGAUAUAUGUAUAAUAAUAAUUUUAUAUUUUAAAAAUUAAUAAUACGAUAAAAUUUUAUUGAUAUUUAAAAAUUUUAAUUUUUAAAAUUAUUUUAAUAUAAGUUUGUUGUCAUAACUAUUUUUUAAAUUUUAAAAUUUUUUAUUUAUAGAUAUUAAAUAAAAAUAAAAAAUAAAACCAGAAUGUCAUUUUUUUUUUUUAUAAUUUACAUUAAAUGCAUGAUUAUAGACCUAAAAAGUUAAUCGAUCAGACUUUGAUGAUCCAAGUUGGAAUCCAAUCCUUAUAAAUGAUGAUUGAAUUUGUUGAUUAAUUGAAGUUAGUUAAUUAGUUUGAGUUUUUUUUUUAUAUUUAAAAAAAAAUUAAGAUAUGUUGAUUUAUUUAGUUCUUUUAAUUUUAUAAAAGAUUAUUUUAACCUUCCAAUUAAUUUUUGGUUUGUUUAGUUUUUAAAUUUAUAUUUUUGUCUAAUCAUUCUAAAAUGAAUAAAAAUAUUAAUAUUUUUAAAUUUUGUUGAUAGUAUAUACACGUAGAUAAUACAUCAACAUUUAAUUAUUUCUUACAAUUUAACUACAAAGAUAACUUUUGUAGGUUGUAACGAAUGUAUAAAUUUCAAAUCAAAUAUUUUGAUUACAAUAUAACAUGCAUCAUACGGGAACUUUUUCAACUUGUUCCUUUACUAAUAAUAUAUUCUACCAUUACAAAUAUGGAAUUCUGUCAUUCAUGGGUUUGUCCCUUAUUUACCCAUAUAUAUAGAUAGAAUUUUGUUGUACACAAUAUUUAAACCAAGAGUUGUUUAACAUCUCUGGAAAUUGAUUACCUUUAUGAACAUUGUAAAGAUUGCCCCAAAGAGAAUAGUGAAACUAACAAUCACACAGUAAUUAAUUCCAGAUAAUCGUGCCUGAAAUCAAAAUAAUUUCUGAAGUACUGCUCUAUUGUCUCAUUGUUCCCAUCUUCAAACAUGUCUGUUAUAUCUCUAAACUGUGAAACAACCAAUCCAUACAAGGUCUCAGAAACCGGACAAAUCCAGUAGUACCACCUCCACCAUAUUGCCAUACUCUGUAAUUGGUGCACAUUUGAAUUUAGUUAGUCCUCAGGAUUUGUGUGUAUAUAUGUAUAUGCUAAAGAUACCAAGACCUCAACCCGAGGUUUAAUCCUAUUGGUUUAUGCAGUGGCAUCCAACAGAAUUGGAUGCCAUAUGAGGCGAAGUAAAGUAAGGUGAAGAACAUGAAGAAGAGAUACCAGAAGAACUUAGCAAUGGUCCACUCGAAUCCGAUCAUAGCAUACACUAUAAUGACAUACACAAAAGCUUUAACAAAAAUAUAAGGUAUCUCUAUUAUAAUGGCAUUUGGCAUUGCAGAGUACAUUCCAGCAGCUCUUUCUCUAUAAAAAACUGUCCUUUCGACAGACAUAACCGGUUGCACAAAAGCAGCGUCUUGGAUACCAAUGAAAAGAAUAGCAACGCACAUUGAACCCAUUGCAUUGGACAGGUUUUGUAUUCUUUUCCUAUAAUUUCAUGAUGCAGACAAUUAGUAAAUGUAAAUAAUUUCUCUAACUUUAUCAUUUUCAUUCAUUUCUAUUUAUUUGGUUCUACAUACAAUUUAUUUCUGAUUUCAACGAGUUAACGGAGAAAUCGAUUGGAUAUAUAUAAUUAGAACUCAACUAAUUUAUAAUUAGGUUUCAACUUUUCGCCUAUCAAUUAUUUAAUCAUGAAGUCAUUCCACCAUAGUAUCAUAACUUAACUCUCCCUGAAUACAUACUAUUUAUGAAAGCUAUUUAAUAAAUGUUCGUCCAAUAAUAUUGUCAUAAGUGUGUUAUUUUUAUAAGAUACAUAAUUUUGGUAGUUUUUUACCUCGAACCUUGAACUAUGAACUUCAAACCCUUGAUUUCAAAUCUUGAACUCUAAAUUUCCCGAACUCAAACCCUGAACUUUAUAGGGUUUGGCAUUUGAGUUUGAGGUUUAGGGUUUAAAGUUUAAGAUUCAAAUUUAAGAUUUAGGAUUUGAGAUUCAAGUAAAGAAUUUACCCAAAUUAUGUGAUAAUAACAUAAAAAAAUUUACUAAAAUGUCAUUAAAUAAUUAGAAAAAGACAAUGGAUAAUUUUGUGGGAAAGAGUUAUAAAAUAUUUGUGAUAAUAAUAUAAUUAGUAAACCUAAAGAAACCAAUCAAUUUAGAAAAAAAAGAAAAAGAAAAGUAAAUAUGAUAUUAAUACAUAUAUGUAUAUAGAUAUAUAGAUAUUGAUACAUAUAGAUAUAACAGCAUAUAUUAAUUUUUUGAAUAAUACUAAAAAUAUUUUAUUUUUUGAGUUGCCUUUUCCUUUGAAAACAUAAACUUACUAAUUUAAUUUUUUAUAUACAUUUCCGUGUACAUAAAUUCUUAAAAUAUAAGGGUUUUUUUUAAAGUUACAAAUAUUGAAAUAAAAUUACUAAAUUAUUACAAUAAGAAAGUUGUAAAAAUUUAAUUAAGCAUAAAUAAAUUCAUUUGGAAAAAAUAAUAAUUUAAACACAAACAAUUAAAAUGGAAUAAUAAAAUUUAAAAUAAGUAAUUAAAAACUUUCAAUUAUCUAUCCCUAUCUCUAACCUUUUAAUGCCUAAAUGGCCAUUACUAAUUUCUAAUAGAAAAACAUGAAUGCACCACUAAUACUCUUCAUUCAACAUUCAAAAAAAAAAAUCAACAUUAAUUCAACAUUUAAUGCCUAAACCCCUCAUGACAUUCAUUCAACAUUUAAUUUCUAAUAAUUUUUAAUGCCUAAAAAAUUAAGAAAAUUAGCAUUAUUGAAUUUGAUAAUUAGGUGUUCGCGGUCUCAAGUUUGUAAAUGUUUAUAAUUAUAUUUUGUUAACUUAUAAACUAUGGUUUUAAAAUUAAAAAAUUAAUUUAUGUUUAGAAAAUAGUAGUAAACAAUUUUCUUAUGAACACUAAACAACGAAAAGUAUUUUCAUUUCUAUUUAAGCUCUGAAUUUUUGAAGAAGACAAAAAAAAAAGGAAAAAUUGAUAUAUGUAAACCAAUUUUUUUAUUUCAAAACAAAGUGUGAAUGUAUUGAUAUAUUAAUUUUGUUAAGAAUUAUUUUUUGAAAGAUUUAUAUAAAUUUUUAUUAACAAUAGUAAAAUUGCUUCAUAUGAAAAAAAAAUAAAGUUUUUACUUAUUCUAGAAUUAUUUUUCAGAAUUCAAUCUCUUCAAAGCAAAUUCGGUGAGAGUUCAUGUACUGUUUUUUUAGAACUUGAACCUUGUAAAGCUAAAAAAGAAAUAAAAAUAAAAUAAAACCAUAUAUGAAAAUAGAUGAAUAUUUGUAAUAUUAGCUAACAUGAAAAUUUAAAAAAACCUAACAAGUGCAGAAAAAUAAACUUUUUUUUUCUCAUGAAAAUUAAUGUGUGUCUUCAUUCAACAUUUAUUUUUCUCAAUAAAAAAAGAUAACAAUGUUUUCCUUAAACUUUGAAAUAUAAACCAUUAAAACGAAUCAUAAAUUUUCGUUAAUUUAGAGCUUAAUCAUUGGAGUCUUGAAUUAUUUUAAGUAAUUUUUUUUUUUUGAAAGAAAAUAAAAUUCAUUAAAAAAGAAGCUAAUACAACAGAGAGUAAAAUCAGAGCAUAAAAAUUUCAAGGAAGCAGGCUUGAGGGUUUGGGCCGAAUCUUCAAAACUGACUUCAAAGAAUUUGGGCCGAAUUUGUUUCAUCUUCAACCGGUAGAGAAGCAAUCAAACCAUAAACUUUUUAUAUCUAAAAAGGUGUACAUUGGUUCAUAGUUGCAUACAAGAAAAAACCUUUUAUUACAAUGACAGAAUUUGGACCUUGUAAUAAAUGCAUAAAAUUCAAAUAGCAUUGAUUUUAUAAGAAUAAAACAAAAAAAUUCUAUCGUCUCUGGAAAUUUAACAUCUUUAUGGCCACAGCAAAGAUUGUUCCAAAGAGAACUGCGAAACUAAUAAUCACAGCAGCAACAAAUCCCAGGUAAUCAUGCCUGAAACCAUAAUAAUUUCUCAAGUGCUGCUUCACUGUCUCAUUGUUUCCAUCUUCAAGCAAUUCGUUUAUAUCUCCAAAUUGUGAAACAAGCAAUCCAUACAAGGUCCAAGAUACUGGACAAAUCCAAUAGUACCAUCUCCACCAUACUGGCAUACUCUGUAAUUGGUUUGAAACGAGUGAGAAUAAAGCUUGUACUCAGUAUUUGUGUAUAGGUAUAUGCUAAAGAGACCAGCAACCUAAACCCCAGGUUUAAUUCUGUUGGCUUAUAGGCUUUGGUCUUCUUUGUAUUGAAAAAAAAAAAAAAAAAGAUAUCAAAUUAUUUAAAAGAGCACAUACAGGUCGUGGGAUGAUGAAACCUGAGAAGAGAUUCCAUAAUCCGUAGAAUGCUGAGGAUACUAUGGCUGCAAUGUGGUUGUUUGGUGUGACAGCAACAGCCAUCAUGCCAUAGAAGGUGAAGUAAAGUAAGGUGAAAAGCAUGAAGAAGAUAUACCAGAAGAACUUAGCAGCGGUCCAUUCGAAUCCGAUCAUGGAAUACACUAUAAUGCCAUACACAGAAGCUUGAACAAAAAUAUAAGGUAUCUCUAUUAAGACCUGCAGUGGCCAAAUGUGGAGGCAAUUAUAAUGCACGUAAAACUUUCUUCACGAUUUCAACUACUCUUCGAAAUGAGAAAAUUACUUACCUGUCCAAUGGCAUAUGGCAUCGCAGAAUACAUUCCGGCAGCUCUUUCUCUAUAAAAGACUGUCCUUUCUACCGACACAACAGGCUGCACAGAUGAAGAGUUUUGGAUACCGAUGAACAGAACAGCAGCGUACAUUGAACCCAUUGCAUUGGACAGAUCUUGUAUUUUUUUCC